This 253-nucleotide ribosomal RNA is filed under the name uncultured bacterium. RNAcentral's name for it is "partial 16S ribosomal RNA". It matches the Rfam family "Bacterial small subunit ribosomal RNA", at positions 524 to 776 of the family's 1533-position model. The record is from RNAcentral.
UACGUAUGUGGCAAGCGUUGUCCGGAAUUAUUGGGCGUAAAGCGCGCGCAGGUGGUUUCUUAAGUCUGAUGUGAAAGCCCACGGCUCAACCGUGGAGGGUCAUUGGAAACUGGGGAACUUGAGUGCAGGAGAGAAGAGUGGAAUUCCACGUGUAGCGGUGAAAUGCGUAGAGAUGUGGAGGAACACCAGUGGCGAAGGCGACUCUGUGGCCUGUAACUGACACUGAGGCGCGAAAGCGUGGGGAGCAAACAGG